GCAAGUAAAAGUCGUAACAAGGUUUCCGUAGGUGAACCUGCGGAAGGAUCAUUGUAGGAUUGUUUUGGGAGGGGUGGUUGUGAUUUGUGGGGAUUGUGUGUGGUUGUUUGGAUUGCCUGGAUUGCCUGGCUGUCUGCAACUCGACUCGUCUCAUCACAACCACUCUACAUUGGCACAGACCAGUGGUCUGAUGUUUGGAGCAACAGACCAGUGGUGUCUGAUGUUUGCGCUUGCUCGUUUGACAGAAACAAUACCAUAUCAUUGCAAAACUUUUAACAAUGGAUCUCUUGGCUCUU
RNAcentral lists this unclassified non-coding RNA (296 nucleotides) under plant metagenome. Its description in RNAcentral is "partial contains small subunit ribosomal RNA, internal transcribed spacer 1, and 5.8S ribosomal RNA". The stretch from base 1 to 54 matches the Rfam family "Eukaryotic small subunit ribosomal RNA", at positions 1778 to 1831 of the family's 1831-position model. The record is from RNAcentral.